CACAUGCAAGUCGAGCGGUAGGGAAGGAGCUUGCUUCUUCUUGAGAGCGGCGGACGGGUGAGUAAUGCCUAGGAAUCUGCCUGGUAGUGGGGGACAACGUUUCGAAAGGAACGCUAAUACCGCAUACGUCCUACGGGAGAAAGUGGGGGAUCUUCGGACCUCACGCUAUCAGAUGAGCCUAGGUCGGAUUAGCUUGUAGGUGAGGUAAUGGCUCACCUAGGCAACGAUCCGCAACUGGUCUGAGAGGAUGAUCAGUCACACUGGAACUGAGACACGGUCCAGACUCCUACGGGAGGCAGCAGUGGGGAAUAUUGGACAAUGGGCGAAAGUCUGAUCCAGCCAUGCCGCGUGUGUGAAGAAGGUCUUCGGAUUGUAAAGCACUUUAAGUUGGGAGGAAGGGUUGUAGCUUAAUACGCUGCAACUUUGACGUUACCAACAGAAUAAGCACCGGCUAACUCUGUGCCAGCAGCCGCGGUAAUACAGAGGGUGCAAGCGUUAAUCGGAAUUACUGGGCGUAAAGCGCGCGUAGGCGGCUUGAUAAGAUGGGUGUGAAAUCCCCGGGCUUAACCUGGGAACUGCAUCCAUAACUGUCUGGCUAGAGUACAGUAGAGGGUGGUGGAAUUUCCUGUGUAGCGGUGAAAUGCGUAGAUAUAGGAAGGAACACCAGUGGCGAAGGCGACCACCUGGACUGAUACUGACGCUGAGGUGCGAAAGCGUGGGGAGCAAACAGGAUUAGAUACUCUGGUAGUCCACGCCGUAAACGAUGUCAACUAGCCGUUGGAAUCCUUGAGAUUUUAGUGGCGCAGCUAACGCACUAAGUUGACCGCCUGGGGAGUACGGUCGCAAGAUUAAAACUCAAAUGAAUUGACGGGGGCC
RNAcentral lists this ribosomal RNA (876 nucleotides) under uncultured Gammaproteobacteria bacterium. RNAcentral's name for it is "bacterial SSU rRNA". It matches the Rfam family "Bacterial small subunit ribosomal RNA", at positions 52 to 921 of the family's 1533-position model. Lineage: Bacteria; Pseudomonadati; Pseudomonadota; Gammaproteobacteria. The record is from RNAcentral.